CCUACGGGGGGCAGCAGUGAGGAAUAUUGGUCAAUGGCCGAGAGGCUGAACCAGCCAAGUCGCGUGAGGGAAGACGGCCCUACGGGUUGUAAACCUCUUUUGUCGGGGAGCAAAGCGAACCACGUGUGGUUCAUUGAGAGUACCCGAAGAAAAAGCAUCGGCUAACGCCGUGCCAGCAGCCGCGGUAAUACGGAGGAUGCGAGCGUUAUCCGGAUUUAUUGGGUUUAAAGGGGGCGCAGGCGGAGGUGCAAGUCAGCGGUCAAAUUGCGGGGCUCAACCCCGUACUGCCGUUGAAACUGCAUCCCUUGAGUGCGCGAGAGGUAUGCGGAAUGCGUGGUGUAGCGGUGAAAUGCAUAGAUAUCACGAAGAACUCCGAUGGCGAAGGCAGCAUACCGGCGCGCAACUGACGCUCAUGCACGAAAGCGUGGGUAGCGAACAGGAUUAGAUACCCCAGUAGUC
Molecule: ribosomal RNA, 459 nt
Filed under: uncultured bacterium
Lineage: Bacteria
Description: partial 16S ribosomal RNA
Rfam family: Bacterial small subunit ribosomal RNA
Source: RNAcentral